RNAcentral lists this long non-coding RNA (791 nucleotides) under Homo sapiens (human). Its description in RNAcentral is "long intergenic non-protein coding RNA 943". The record is from RNAcentral. Lineage: Eukaryota; Metazoa; Chordata; Mammalia; Primates; Hominidae.
ACACUCCAGGGAACUCACAUGGGGGCUGGGCAGGGGGACCUAAGAGAUAGAUAAUCGGCACAUAUCGCUUCUCGGCCUUUUGGCUAAGAUCAAGUGAUAAUCAGCAAUGCACUGAGAAGGAGAGCAACAUUUAAGCGUACUCAUUCUGCUGCUAUGAGCGAGGAGACUGGGCCCAAAGGAACAAGAAUGGACACAGGAAAGGUCAGCUGAGGUUAUGGCAGGUAUCCAGGUGCAUGAAGAUGGUGGCUUGGACCAGGUGGCCAUGGUGGAGAGAACAGGAAAUGAUCAUCCUUAAUAUGAAUUAGGAUGAGUGUGAUUAAUAGAGGAAGAAUCAACACUUUCAGAGAUGGAGCCUGUUGAGCCACAGUACCAACUAGUCAAUGCUGAAUCGACUUCUCCCUUUCUACAUUGCCUGAGAGAAGUCAUUGGGGAAUACUCUGUACACGAAUUUUCACUGUUGGGGAAAACAGAGAGUCAAGGGAUUGGAUUGUGGAUUGCAUUGGUGGUUUUCCUCAGUUUCCUCAUCUUCUCCACAAGUUUCUACAUAUCGAAUGCAGAGCAGCCCUUCUUCAAAGGACCUCCUACGGAAGCUGCUAAGGAACUCAGUCUGUAGCUCUGCGUGGAGCCAUGUGUAAACACUGAACUGAGACCUGCCACCUCCUACUACCUAAGGGCCCAUUUUCAUCUGAUAUCAUCCCCCAGAAACAAACUCAUGAUGACUUCCAUGUUUUUUUUAGAUUAGAUACAUGGAGAAUUUUCCUUUCCCUUAGAAUUAAAAUCCUGCAUUCUAA